GUUUAGCAAGUGUAACCCUGAUGCUUUGCCCUGUCAAACAAGGAUGAGGUAUGAACUUGUAUUAAAUGAGUGACAUGCACCAAGAGGAUGAGACCUCUCCGUGGCUAGAAUCAUUGUUGGUACUCAGAGUCAACCACAGAAAUGUCUGGAAGCUUGCAUGCUGUGGACUUUGAGCAGUGUGCCAAACAACUCAAGAGGUGCUCAUAUUUCUGUUUUUAAAUGUGUAUCUUUUGAAAUCAGUAGUUGGAAAUGAGGUUCUGGAACAUCUAAUCUCUCAGGGAGAGUUAACGGUAAAAAGGGGUUAAGAAAUCUUAGAACUUGUUCAUGUUUUGAUUUUCUGAGGCAUGCACACCUUCCCAGAAGCAUUCCUUUAACUCAAAAAAAAUUAAUCAUAUAAAAGAGGAAGGCAAAAUGAAAUGGACUGAUACAUAGUUUCAGUUAAAAGUUUCUCUUGACAUGGAAGUGUUGCACAUUUCUUUUGUUGUUCUACAUCCUCACCCUUAAAAGCUUCAACGAGACCUAUAUGGAGGUUUAUA
Molecule: long non-coding RNA, 536 nt
Filed under: Anas platyrhynchos platyrhynchos (common mallard)
Lineage: Eukaryota; Metazoa; Chordata; Aves; Anseriformes; Anatidae
Description: lncRNA (ENSAPLG00000023082.1)
Source: RNAcentral